CCUACGGGAGGCAGCAGCAAGGAAUUUUCCGCAAUGGGCGCAAGCCUGACGGAGCAACGCCGCGUGCGGGAUGACGCCUUUCGGGGUGUAAACCGCUGUUCGUGGGGACGAAGCACUGACGGUACCCACGGAGGAAGGCCCGGCUAACUACGUGCCAGCAGCCGCGGUAAUACGUAGGGGCCGAGCGUUGUCCGGAGUUACUGGGCGUAAAGCGUGCGCAGGCGGUUGAUCGCGCCCGGCGUGAAAGCCCCCGGCUCAACCGGGGAGGGUCGUCGGGGACGGGUCAACUUGAGGACAGCAGGGGCUGGUGGAAUUCCCGGUGUAGUGGUGAAAUGCGUAGAGAUCGGGAGGAACACCCGUGGCGAAGGCGGCCAGCUGGGCUGGACCUGACGCUGAGGCACGAAGGCGUGGGGAGCGAACGGGAUUAGAUACCCCGGUAGUCCACGCAGUAAACGAUGCAGACUAGGCGUGGGGGGACUUGACCCCCUCCGUGCCGGAGCUAACGCGGGAAGUCUGCCGCCUGGGGAGUACGGCCGCAAGGCUAAAACUCAAAGGAAUUGACGGGGGCCCGCACAAGCGGCGGAGCGUGUUGUUUAAUUCGUCGCAACGCGAAGAACCUUAC
RNAcentral lists this ribosomal RNA (622 nucleotides) under uncultured Chloroflexota bacterium. RNAcentral describes it as "bacterial SSU rRNA". It matches the Rfam family "Bacterial small subunit ribosomal RNA", at positions 338 to 974 of the family's 1533-position model. The record is from RNAcentral. Lineage: Bacteria; Bacillati; Chloroflexota.